AUUCCAUGAUGAGGACACUUUCAUAAUAAUCCUUUGUACCUUUCCCAUGCCUCAUACAAUGACUCAUCAUCCAUUUGUUGGAAAGCAGUGAUCUCGUUCCUUAACUU
RNAcentral lists this small nucleolar RNA (107 nucleotides) under Gossypium hirsutum (cotton). Its description in RNAcentral is "Plant small nucleolar RNA R71". It matches the Rfam family "Plant small nucleolar RNA R71". From Rfam's summary of the family: R71 is a member of the C/D box family of snoRNAs containing the C (UGAUGA) and D (CUGA) box motifs. Multiple nearly identical copies of this snoRNA have been identified in Arabidopsis, and it is thought to function as a 2'-O-ribose methylation guide for 18S ribosomal RNA. The record is from Rfam by way of RNAcentral. Lineage: Eukaryota; Viridiplantae; Streptophyta; Magnoliopsida; Malvales; Malvaceae.